GACGAACGCUGGCGGCGUGCUUAACACAUGCAAGUCGAACGGAAAGGCCCUGCUUUUGUGGGGUGCUCGAGUGGCGAACGGGUGAGUAACACGUGAGUAACCUGCCCUUGACUUUGGGAUAACUUCAGGAAACUGGGGCUAAUACCGGAUAGGAGCUCCUGCUGCAUGGUGGGGGUUGGAAAGUUUCGGCGGUUGGGGAUGGACUCGCGGCUUAUCAGCUUGUUGGUGGGGUAGUGGCUUACCAAGGCUUUGACGGGUAGCCGGCAUGAGAGGGUGACCGGCCACAUUGGGACUGAGAUGCGGCCCAGACUCCUACGGGAGGCAGAUGUGGGGAAUAUUGCACAAUGGGCGGAAGCCUGAUGCAGCAACGCCGCGUGCGGGAUGACGGCCUUCGGGUUGUAAACCGCUUUCGCCUGUGACGAAGCGUGAGUGACGGUAAUGGGUAAAGAAGCACCGGCUAACUACGUG
This 468-nucleotide ribosomal RNA is filed under the name uncultured bacterium. Its description in RNAcentral is "partial 16S ribosomal RNA". It matches the Rfam family "Bacterial small subunit ribosomal RNA", at positions 28 to 507 of the family's 1533-position model. The record is from RNAcentral.